AAGACUAUAUUUCAUAUGGAAAUAAACUGGGGACAACAAAGUUUAGUCCCGUCAUUCCGCCAAACGGCUCAAAAAAUAGUCAGAAUAAUUAUUCCGGUCAAACUGAACUAUUCUAGAUAAUUCUAGAAUAACUCGAAAAUAAUUGUUCCACCUUUUUGUUGGCUUAAAUGGGCCAGGAUCUUGCCCUGUGGCGGGAGGCCAUGUGGGCCGAGUCAUGUUCGAAAUGGCGUAAGGCUGGGUUGGGCCGAGUCAUGUUCGAAAUGGCGUGAGGCUGGGUUGGGCCGAGUCAUGUUCGAAGUGGCGUGAGGCCAGGUGGGCCGAGUCACAAUCGAGACCCGUGGGCGCUGUUUCUGUACGCUUUAAGUGAAUUGGUUGCGUAUUUCUAACAGCUUGAGCUUUUGGGAUUAAUGGUUAGCGCCAACGAUCCGACAAGUGGUAUCAGAGCCAGAGGUCACGGGUUCGAUUUCUGCAUGCUGCAAAUAUGUGCAGGUGCUGGAGGGGGGAUUGUUGGCUUAAAUGGGCCAGGAUCUUGCCCUGUGGCGGGAGGCCAUGUGGGCCGAGUCAUGUUCGAAAUGGCGUGAGGCUGGGUUGGGCCGAGUCAUGUUCGAAGUUGCGUGAGGCCAGGUGGGCCGAGUCAUAAUCGAGACCCGUGGGCGCUGUUUCUGUACGCUUUAAGUGAAUUGGUUGCGUAUUUCUAACAGCUCGAGCUUUUGGGAUUAAUGGUUAGCACCAACGAUCCGACACUUUUUACUUGAAUAAGGUUAUUCUCAUAUUUGUAUCUGGCUAAUUAAAAAUAAAAAAUAUAUAUAAUCAUGGUUUAUACUUGGCUCAAUAAAAUAAAUAUAAAAAUUAUUAUUAUUAUAAAUAAUUAUUAUUAUUUUAUUUUAAAUUUUCAAUGUUUAAAAUAAUAAUAAUAAUAGUAAUCAUUGUUAUUGUUAUUACUAACAGAAGUACUACUAUAAUUAUUAUAAAUAAAAUAACAAAAUAUAUUAUU
Molecule: long non-coding RNA, 994 nt
Filed under: Ananas comosus (pineapple)
Lineage: Eukaryota; Viridiplantae; Streptophyta; Magnoliopsida; Poales; Bromeliaceae
Description: long non-coding RNA (ACOM_LNC014559)
Source: RNAcentral